Molecule: long non-coding RNA, 1486 nt
Filed under: Gallus gallus (chicken)
Lineage: Eukaryota; Metazoa; Chordata; Aves; Galliformes; Phasianidae
Source: RNAcentral
GCAAUAUCCACAUGUGAACAGGAGUGCCAUACUUGUGUGUAUAAAAAGCAAGCACGGGGCUUUGUUAUCCACCAGAAGCCAUGAGGGCUUUUGAUUCGAUAGAGCAAAACAGAAGGAGGUGUAUCCACAUACUCUCAGCCUGAUACUCUACUUUGUCAAGUCAUUACCAUUAUCAGAUGAAGAGACUUGGCACCUCUGUGUGAUGAAAUCCAAAUACUGGCUGUGGUUACGGAACUGAGCAAAACAUAGAGCAGAUGAAGAGAUACAGAGCUGUAGCUCGCGGGGCCUCAUUGUUCGGGAACACCGCGUAACAAAAAGAAAGGCCAUGUACUGAGGAGCUGCUGUGUCUGCAAGGGAUCUCUUCAAAACAGAAACCAAACAAAACUGAACAAACCCAACGAUUUACUCUGCAGCCAACAAUGGCCGCUGCCAAAGUCUUGUACCUGGCAGCAUUCAACAGGCUGGACAGCCCCAGCUCUCAGCUGUCCUUGUAGAAGAGGUGUUCCAUCUCUUGCAUCAUUUUUGUGGCCCUCCUCUGGACACACUCCAACAGGUCCAUGUCUCUCCUGUACUGAGGAUUCCACGUGUGGAUGCAGUACUCCAGGUAAGGCCUCACCAGCAGAGUAAAAGGGCAGGAUCACCUCCCUUGACCUGAUGGCCACACUUCUUCUGAUGCAACCGCAGAAAGAGUAAACUUAGUGUGGCUUAUCAUUUUGGUUUUGUGAGGUUCAUUCAGAACAACAAGUUCUUAAUGUUGUGCAGCAUUUACCAUAAUUUGGGUAUAACUAUUUACUCCUCUUAGCUCUAGCUUUCAAUUCUAUUGAAAGUCCUUGCAGUUGCAUUUGAUGGGAAUUUGUGGAAGCACCUGGCUUGUUAUUUAUGCCACACACUUUUAUCUGUGUACCUCCUAUCCCUUUUGUUUUGGUUCCAGUAAUCCCAGCUGCUCUGUUCUUUCCGUAAACAAGGAUUGCAAAAUCCAGUGCUCAUUAACAGAGAUCACACAAGAAACAAAACUGAUCUUAACAUUUGCUAACAUUUUGGGCCAAAUUGGAUCUGAAUUUCAAUUCAGACCCAUAAAUAUUAAGAGGGAGAAUGUAUACGUGGGUGUGGAAAAACUGGGGUGCUAACCAGCUCUGUUCUGAAAGCAUUCCAAGUGACUGCAGGCUUUGUCUCUAUCCAAUUUCAUUCUGGAAUUAGGAGUUUUGAAUUCUGAGGACUGAACUAAAAAAUAUCAUAGAAAGCUUAUGAGAAAUUUGGUAUGUAAAGCAGAAAUUCUUCCUCACUGAUUUUUCUCGGCUGGGAGGUGGGGAAGAGUAGGAAGGAAACAACAACUUAAAAAAUGAUCAAGUGGUGUGUAUAGGAACCAUUGAAUCACAGCCUGAACCACUGACUGACCACCUGAGGCAAGCACUGAGUCAGUGGGAGCACAGGUGAAGGCAAUUCAGUUGUGUGACCAGAAGGGGCGUAGCCUGGCUGCACCUCUCCU